RNAcentral lists this long non-coding RNA (6224 nucleotides) under Pan troglodytes (chimpanzee). Its description in RNAcentral is "long non-coding RNA NONPTRT015704". The record is from RNAcentral. Lineage: Eukaryota; Metazoa; Chordata; Mammalia; Primates; Hominidae.
GCGGCCGCUUCCUCCCUCCUCGGCUCCCCGCUGGGGGCGUCCUGGCUCGGGAGCCGCCGGGAGUGCUAGGCCGUUGCGCCCACCUGGCCCUGGUGUCAGGGUGAGGGGCGCCUGCGGUCUUGGGCCACCCUUGCGCUUGGCAAACUGAAGGCCAGAGGGGGGUUGACCGCGGGGCACUGAGUUGGGUACAGGGCUGGGGAGGAAUCAGGGUCUCGUGCCCUCCCCAGGCAUAUUAGGGUGGGAGGGGCAUGGACAUUGAUAGGAGUCCCAGGCAGGAGCAGGAUUCGAGAGACAGGACCCCCCACUGGGCACCACCUGGGCCCUGAGUCUCCCUCUUCCCACCAAGCCCUGGCCCCACCUCUGAGCACCCCCCUCCCCCUCCCUCAAUCUUCUCCCCAGCCCCUCCCUCCCUCAGCCCCCUCCCCCAUCUCAGUCCCUCUGCCCUCUAAAGUCCCUGCUCUGAGGAGACUCUGCCCUUUUCCAGGCACCGCCCACACUUGGACAGGUGUCUCAAACCUGCCGGCUCCUCUUCCCAUUGCCACCCUCCUGAGGCACCUGCCAGGGUGCCUCAGAGACCCCACACCAACACCCCCAAAACUGUCCCCACCCUCCAAGAGGGGCACAGAUGCCCGAAGACCUACAGGCAGGUGCAAUGGGGGAGCUGGCAGAGGAGAGAGACGUCUUAGCCUGUCCCCAGAUGGAUGGGCUGGGCCUGGGUUGGGGCUUCUCCCAGACCCCAGGGAAGGUCCACAUCCCCUUCUGGUCUGUUGAUUAUAGAGUACACAGUUGAGACCCCUCAGAGAGAGGGGGCUGCAGUGCUGGCAGGGGCACUGGGGUGGGUGGGGGGGUGGCUUGGGGUGGGGAGGCCUGCAGUUCCUUCCCAGACCCGCAGACUGCCCCCCACCCAACCCCAAAGCCUCAGCUGGGAGUGGGAGAGCUGCCCCUCCCCAGACCUCAGGUCUCAGCAGCAAACAUGUACGUGUUGGUCAGUUUCAUUUUGAUUUUUGGCUGUUUCCUUUCACUCCCUUUCUUUUCUCAAACACCCUUUACUCCCACGGCCUCAGAGAGGAAAGUCAAGGGCAGCUGACUGAAGGCUCUUGGUCUCAAGGUUAAGUUUUAUUGAAGGACAUUUACCUGUCUCUAGACUGUCCCACCUGGACCAGGCACCAGGCUCCUGGGCUCUGGGGGUUUUGGUUGGGCCGCGCAGGGAGGAUGACACUGAUGUCCCCGGAUCUGUCUUGGGAGGGGGUUGAGGGCAGGCAGAGGUAGCUGAGGGUAGCAUGGCAGAGGCUGGAGAGGAUUAACAACCCACAAGAGGGGCACCCACCAUCCCCCACCCCUGUGGGCAUGGAGUCCCAAGAGCACAGGACCCGAAACACCUUCUUGCCAGCUUCUCAUCCACCCUUCUGGGGCCUCCCAAGAGACACAGAGAUGCAGGUUCUCUGAAGUCAGGGCUGGAAGUGGGUCCCUUUGUACCUCUGGUCCUCUCUCCAGCCCUGGAGUCCUGAGCAAUGAUCCCACCUCCACCCCCUCCCCAAUGCAGACAAAAUGGCCACAGCAUCUAGGCAUCCCCAGGAUAGGGCAGUCGGGGAAGGGGACCCAGCCACCAGCCUUGGGGCGGGAGCUUCUGAAGCACCCACAUCUUGUCUCCCUCCCAGCAUGGGACUCUAGUUUGGCACAGCCUUGGGAGUUUUCUUGGAGACGGCAUUUUGUGACUCCUUUCACCAAGCAUGGUCCCCAAAUCCUAUCCCUCACCCUUGGGGCCCUGGGAGAUCUGGGACUUCAGAGCAUCCCGGGUCUCAAACCUGCAUUCAGAUCCCUGCCUCUCUGCCUUAAAAAGACCCCUGAGGAGUCAAAAGAGGCUAGUUCUUGCUCAUAUGCAGAAAAGUGAGAUGGGGGAUGGGAGAGGGGUCCCAGACUUUACCAUGAACGAAACCAUCUUCGGGAAAAAAUACUGGGGGUGGUAUUCUUGGACGAUACCUUUAAAAAAAAAAAAAGAAAAGAAAAAAAAGAGAGAGAGAAACAAACGGAAAAAAAGGAAAGCUCAACAUUUUUUAACCCCGUCUAUGUUUUUGUUUGUUUUUUAGCCUCCCAUUUGAAACGUGGUAAUACUGUGAUUCCAUUUCUUGUUUAGCUGGUGAGGGAAGAGGGUGGGCAAGUUUAUGUAACUUUUUCUGUUGUUUUGUUUUUAUUUCCUUUUCCUUUUUUUUUCCCCCCCUAUUUUAAUGUACAGAAAUGCAAACUCUCUCUCUGGGUUUUUUUUUUCUAUCUUCUAUGUUCUAGAAUUUUCUUUUUGUGUGUGUUACUGUGGGAACCUUUCCUCUUAAUGCAGAGAUGGCUUUUGAAUUUUAAGUGAACAUUAAUCAUAUACACAUCUCUAUAUACUUUUUUUUCCUUUGUAAUCUGAAUUUAAAAGGGAAGAUAACUCUAAAAAAAAAUCACUCCCACACCAACAGCUCCUGCCAAGUCAGCAGCGGCAGCAAAUCCUCCUUUCAACUCCAGGCACAGGCUGGAGCUGCCGCAGAUUUUAAAUUAACUACAGUGGUGCAGCCUGUGCUGCUACGUUCCCCAGGAAGCUGGAGAGAAGCGGGAGACCCAGGGAGGGGAAGAGACUUGUCCUGGGUUGCCCAGGGAGCUUCUUGGAGCUUGCUGCUACUCCUUGGUUCAGUUUAGUAUAAUGGGCUGGACACAGGGGACAGGGAGCAGGACAGGCUGUUCAGGACCAUCAGUGUCAGACCUCAGACUAAGAUCCUUAGGAAAAUGUGGAGGAAUGAGAGGUCUGAAGGCACCUGGCAGAGUUUAGCUGAGACACUUCAGGCAAGCAAAAAAUUCCAUCUUGGGCUGGGCACAGUGGCUCACACCUGUAAUCCUAGCACUUUGGGAGGCUGAGGGGGACGGAUCACCUGAGGUCAGGAGCUCAAGACCAGCCUGACCAACAUGGUGAAACCCCAGCUCUACUAAAAAUACAAAAAUUCGGCUGGCCAUGGUGGCUCACAACUGUAAUCCCAGCACUUCGGGAGGCUGAGGCGGGCAGAUCACCUGAGGUCAGGAGUUCGAGACCAGCCUGGCUAACAUGGCAAACCCCCGUCUCUACUAAAAAUACAAAAAAAUUAGCCAGGCAUGGUGGUGCAUGCCUGUAAUCUCAGCUACUCAGGAAGCUGAGGCAGGAAAAUCACUUGAACCUGGGAGGCAGAGGUUGCAGUGAGCGGAGAUCAUACCACUGCACUCCAGCCUAGGUGACAGAGUGAGACUCCGUCUCGGAAAAAAAAAAAAAAAUAGCCAGGCAUGGUGGGCACCUGUAAUCCCAGCUACUUGGGAGGCUGAGGCAGGAGGAUCGCUUGAACCCAGGAGGCAGAGGUUGCAGUGAGCUGAGAUUGUGCCAUUGCACUCCAGCCUGGAUGACAAGAGCGAGACUCUGUCUCAAAAAAAAAAAAAAAUCCAUCUUGAUCUCGAGACUGAGGCCAGUGAUGUGGUUACUCCCAAUAAACCCCUUUGUUGGCCCAUCCCAGGUGAUGGUUGAACCCCACAGGACUUUCUGGGUUCUGAUGCUUACAGGAGAAACUGCAGCUCUGAGAGGUCAAGUGACUGGCUCAAGGUCACACAGCUAUUUAGAGGUAGAUCCAAAAGUAGACCCCAGGCAGGGCGCAGUGGCUCACACCUGUAAUCCCAGCACUUUGGGAGGCUGAGGCAGGAGGAUCACUUGAGGCCUGCAGUUCCAGACUGACUGGUCAACAGAACAAGACUGUAUCUCUACAAAAAUAUAUAUAUAUUUUUUUAAUCAGCCAGGCAUGGUGGCAUGUGCCUAUAGUCUCGUCUACUGAGGGAGAUGAGGGAGGAGAAUCACUUGAGCUCAGGAGUCCAAGGCUGCAGUAAGCCAUGAUUGCACCACUGUACUCCAGCCUGGGCAACACUGCAAGACCCUGUCACUACAAAAAUUUAAAAGAAAAAGCUGGGCAUGGUGGAAUACACCUGUAAUCCCAGCUACUCAGGAGACUGAGACAGGAGGAUUGCUUGAACCCAGAAGUUUGAGGCUGCAGUGAGCCAUGAUUGCGCCAUUGCACUCCAGCUUGGGCAACAGAGCAAGACCCUGUCUCAAAACAAACAACAACAACAAAAAAUAGACUCCAGCCCUCUGACUCUGACCUCUAGACUCCAGCUAAGCUGUGGAGAGGGUGGAAAAUGGGAAGCACAGUCCAGGAGCCCUGAGCAGAAGGAGGAUUUGGGAGGUGGUUGCUGGUUGUCUCAGCUCCUGCUUUCCCCCAUUAGACCCAUCCAGAAAUCAGCUUCCUGCUCUCUCAUGUCCCUAGACCAAGGUCUGCCUACACUGAGAGACCCGGGUGCAGGUGGCCCCCACAUUACAGAAACUCAUAUGAUUGUUGCUUCUGUGACUCAGGGAACCCUAAACCCUCACAGUUCAUACAUGUGGGGAAAUAAAUAUCGAGGCACAGAGAGGGAAGAGAGUCACUCAAGGUCACACAAUGUAGGAUGAAAGAGGAAGAUACUGAUCAGGAGACCUCCUGGGAGAAGCCCUCCUGUCCAGUCUUACCUGGUGCCUUCACUGGCCUCCCUCCAGCCCCCACCAGCAGAACCUGGUGCUAGGCUCACCCUCCCAAGGCCCAGAAAGAGUAUACAGAGUUUGCCGUCUUUUCUAUUUUAUUAUUGCAUUCCUGUCCCAGGGGCCACCUGCUCACCUUCGAAGUCUCUAGCGUUAGAAGUUUCAGGGGAUGGGGCAGUCACAGUGACUUAUGCCGGUAAUGCCAGUACUUUGGAAGGGCGAGGCAGGAAGAUCACUUGAGACCAGGAGUUUGAAAUCAGCCUGGGCAACAUAGCAAGACCCCUAUCUCUACAAAAAAAAAAUUUUUUUUAAUUAGCCAGAUGUGAUGGUGCAUGCCUACAAUCCCAGCUACUUGGAAGGCCGAGGUGGGAGGAUCACUUGAGCCCAGGAGUUGGAGGCUACAGUGAGCUAUCAUCCUGUCUGUAGUCCCAGCUACUCGGGAGGCUGAGUCAGGAGAAUCACUUGAACCCAGGAGGCAGAGGUUGCAGUAAGUUGAGAUCGCACCAUUGCACUCCAGCCUGGGUGACAGAGCGAGACUCCAUCUCAAAAAAAAAACCCCAAAAAACAAAAAACCCUACAGUGUCCGGGGCUGCCUGGAAGGUGACACCCUUAGGUGAGGGUGGCAGAGAAGGCUCAGGAUCAUGGCCUUGGGGCUGUCUCUGGCUUCUCCCUGUGGUCCAAAUUUUAUCAUGUAAUGGGCAGCCUCAGGUGACCCCCAAGAAGAGGUGCCAAGGCACCCCCUGACCUGCCUUAUACAGGAACAGAAAAAGCAAAAGGGAUGAAUUUUGCUAAAAGGAUGCCAAAGCCAGAGGGAAAGGAGUGGGACUGACCUGAGGCAGGGUCACUCCUCCAGAUCGGCUCUGUGGUUGCCUUCCCUUUUAAAUGCGCGUUUUCCCUUCACCCAUCUGUCCACUCCGAUUGGCCUUGUUUAAACAGUGCUUGUCUCCUCUUUCUGUCUGGGGGCACCUUUCUCUCUUCCUGCCUCUCUGUUUCUGUUUGCUUCUGUCAUUGUUUCUGUCUUUCUGUUUCUCUUUCUCCUUCUCUUCCCAUUUCUAUCUCUGCCUGACUUUGUCUGUUCGUCUGUCUCUCUGUCUGUCUGCCUCCUGUCUCUCUCUCUUCCUUUCCAUCCCUCUCCCCCGGCAUGGGCCUCUCUCCCAUGCUGCCAGCCCCUCUGUAGCCCACCCUGUGGUUCUCUUCCAUCAGCUGCUUCCUGCAUGCUCUAUGGAGGUUUUCUGUUGUUCGAACAAUAAAGAAAGCUUGGCUAGUGGAACCCAUUGUUUAAAAAGGAGGAAAAAAAAAGAGCAAACAGAAAUGGCCGUGCAAGAGCCCCCUCCCAUCCCUGGGAUGAGACAAAAGCCACAUUGGCCACCCAUCUACUGGCUCAGAGGGGGAGCACAGUUUAGGGUCACUGUCUUUCCCCCAUUCUGCAUUCCCAAUGCGGAGACCUUCUUUUCUUUUUUAUUAUUGCAUUCCUGUCCCUGAGCACUGAGAAGGAGGAAGUGCCACUUUAUUGAAGCCCAGCUCGCCCUCGCCCAGGGUCCGUGAUAAGGCGGCGGCCGCCGCACCCACGCCGCCCGCGCGGGGGAAGGAGAGCCCGAGCCCGCGCUCGGCGCCGUCGUCCCAAGGUCGCGGAGGCCGCGCGGCGGGCGGGGCGGGCAGGCGGCGGCGG